AUGCUUUAAAGUGGCUGCAUGACCUCCAGAGAGAAGAUGUACUAUACUAUCAUCCUGUGUCCUGAAACCUUUCUGGCUGUUUGUCAAAUCUCUGCACUUUUCUCUCUGUCUCUAUGGUUGACUGUGUCUGUGGUAUGAGAGUGUGUCUCUCAGGUGUGUGUUUGUUUGUCCUGAACGCACAUGAGUAUCAAAUCAGUCUAUAGUGGGCUACAAUGUAUAUGACUCAUCUUUAUUCUUUAUUUGCGUGUGGGCAUAUUCCAAACAAGCACAUGUUACAUGCUGAGGUCUACUGGUCCUGUUUGGUUUGUGUUGUUAUCUGGUCCAAACCCACAUGCCACACCCACAGGGGUGUGAACCUGUUACAGGGAUUGAGUCGUUUCUGUUUUAGCUACCAAGUUGUUGAUCUGUGACAUGAUGCUGACCGUGACAUACCUUCACUUCUGCUUGUGGAAUCAUUUCAGAAGAUGAGUUAAUAUUAAGGUUUCCAAUCCAUGUAUUAUUUUAAUAAAUACAGUAUAUAGAAAAUAUAUGGUCAUGCUUUACAGCACUUCGGGGUACAAUGGAUCUUUUUAAUGUAGUUUCGAACCAUCGUUCUUAGUAACCACUAAUAUUAACCUGAAUGCUGGUGAUAAUGCCAAAUACUGCACACACUAUCAAUGGGACCGUUAGGAACCAAAUGUAACCAAAUUGUAAAUUUGCAAAUUGGUUUAGGCCUAUCAAGGAAAUGUGUUUUUAUUUGUUGCCAAAGACAGAUGUCUGUCAAUAUCAACUGUUGAAACAUUUUAUCUAUAUCCACUGUUUGUGUACCAUCAGUUUUGUUUCUGUAUAUACACAGAAAGAGAACCAUUAUCUACCAUCCCUAUCAGAAAUGUAUGGCCAAACGUAUCAACCUACAAGGGGAUAUUUAUGCUGUAAAGGUUUACAGUUGCUAAAAUCUUUUGAUUCGGAGUGUCAAACCUGUAUACAGUCAGCAACUGUCUCAGUGGUCGAAAGCUGUCAACAGGAAUGUUGGCUUUUAUAAUAUGACAAGGGAUGAUAAUCAAUGAUAAAUGCAAGCAGAUAAUACUGAUUGGGCCUGUGCUUGUUGUACCAUACUGUGUCAUGCUCAACCCUGUCCUGUCAACCCCCUCACUCUCCACCCCACACACAGCCUCCACACCCCACACACACACAGCCUCCACACCCCACACACACACUCCACACAGCCUCUACACCCCACACACACCCCACACGCACUCUCCACACAGCCUCCACACCCCACACGCACCCUCCACACCCUCUACCCUGCCAAGCCUGUCAUUGUAUGUACGCCAUACAUACGUUUUGCACAUUGUGUACAUAUUUCUAUAGAUGACAUGUCAUGCAUAUUUUUAUAAGUGUAGCACAUCCAUGAUUUGUUUUGUAAAUAAUAUGGAAAAAUAUGUAUAUAUGUACUGUAUGUCUUUCUGUGUCAAUAAAAUGCGCCG
Molecule: long non-coding RNA, 1466 nt
Organism: Esox lucius (northern pike)
Lineage: Eukaryota; Metazoa; Chordata; Actinopteri; Esociformes; Esocidae
Source: Ensembl